GAUGAACGCUGGCGGCGUGCCUAAUACAUGCAAGUCGAGCGAACAGACGAGGAGCUUGCUCCUCUGACGUUAGCGGCGGACGGGUGAGUAACACGUGGAUAACCUACCUAUAAGACUGGGAUAACUUCGGGAAACCGGAGCUAAUACCGGAUAAUAUAUUGAACCGCAUGGUUCAAUAGUGAAAGACGGUUUUGCUGUCACUUAUAGAUGGAUCCGCGCCGCAUUAGCUAGUUGGUAAGGUAACGGCUUACCAAGGCAACGAUGCGUAGCCGACCUGAGAGGUUGAUCGGCCACCCUGGAACUGAGACACGGUCCAGACUCCUACGGGAGGCAGCAGUAGGGAAUCUUCCGCAAUGGGCGAAAGCCUGACGGAGCAACGCCGCGUGAGUGAUGAAGGUCUUCGGAUCGUAAAACUCUGUUAUUAGGGAAGAACAAAUGUGUAAGUAACUAUGCACGUCUUGACGGUACCUAAUCAGAAAGCCACGGCUAACUACGUG
This 497-nucleotide ribosomal RNA is filed under the name uncultured bacterium. Its description in RNAcentral is "partial 16S ribosomal RNA". It matches the Rfam family "Bacterial small subunit ribosomal RNA", at positions 28 to 507 of the family's 1533-position model. The record is from RNAcentral.